RNAcentral lists this long non-coding RNA (2187 nucleotides) under Homo sapiens (human). RNAcentral's name for it is "HSALNT0320032". Lineage: Eukaryota; Metazoa; Chordata; Mammalia; Primates; Hominidae. The record is from RNAcentral.
GCUGUGGUGCAGGUGGCCGAAGGGGGCGUUACUGUUGCGACUGGCAUCCGCAUCCGGCAGAUGUAGAUGGAACCAAAGUCCAGAAGUUACGCGUCACCCUUGCUCUACAGCCAAACAUGCAGGACUCUAGUAACCCGCGAAAUGAUGGGAUAGCGUUGCAAAUCCUUAAAAGAGUCUUAACGAAAUCCUGGCUGACAUUGACUUCUCCACUGCAACCAUCGAGUUCAUUGUCUCCUAAACCUUGCCAUGGAGGCCUGUGGCACCUGAGCCAGCCAUUAUCAUCACCAGCACUUCCAUGAGCUACAAGCUGGACCCACUGCAGUCCUCCUGACACACUGAAAUCAGAGCCUGCACACAGAGCAGCAGAUGCUUCAAUGUAAAGGUCAUUUCCAGGUCCUUGACAGGCGUGCAUCUGGGCCAGAUCCAUGGCAAUAACCUUCAGGUUGAGGCUAGAGGGCUUCAGAUGGGCAGCUUCGAAUGACAGGAGCAAGGCACAAGAGGCCGGAAAGGGAGGGUGACAUUUUCAGCAUCUAUAAGAUCAACUUUAGAAACAUUUGGGGGUUGACAAAUUCCCAUCAAGCUCUGUGGAUCUUGUACAACUGCUCACCACCGGCUUCUCAUCAGCACAUGAUUGGUGCAGGGUUCUGAGGAUGAUUUUGAGAUGUUCCCUGAUGUGGUCUUGUGAGGAGAUUUCAUGACAGAUGGCAGGAAGCUUCGUGGAGAGAUUUCUGAAGACACUCCUGAGCUCCCAACACCGGGCAACUCUCUUCCAGAGGAUAGUGGGGUGGAGGGUAGAAGAGAGGCAAAGUCAGGAGAAGGGAAAAUGUUACAUUGUCAAAGUCCCAAAGCCUUUCAGCCUGAAGCCAGGAACAAUUGUUCAAAGUUUCUUUGGAACAUCAAGGAAGGAAAUCCAGAUUUUACUUUAAGUGCAAUGGGGAGUCAUUAAGGAUUUUGUGUAGAUACAGCAAAAAGACAACAAUCUUCAAGCCACAAUGGCCCUCACCAGAACCCAGCCAUGUGGUCAGCCUGAUCUCGGACUUCACAGCCAGCAGAACUGUUUGUCAAAGAUCAGAUGGUUUCCUUAAGCUGAUAAGCAACUUCAACAAAGUCUCAGGAUACAAAAUCAAUGUGCAAAAAUCAUAAGCAUUCUUAUACACCAAUAACAGACAAACAGCCAAAUCAUGAGUGAACUUCCAUUCAUAAUUGCACAAAGAGAAUCAAAUACCUAGGAAUCCAGCUUACAAGGGAUGUGAAGGACCUCUUCAAGGAGAACUACAAACCACUGCUCAAUGAAAUAAAAGGGGACACAAACAAAUGGAAGAACAUUCCAUGCUCAUGGUUAGGAAGAAUCAAUAUCGUGAAAAUGGCCAUACUGCCCAAGAUAAUUUAUAGAUUCAAUGCCAUCCCCAUCAAGCUACCAAUGACUUUCUUCACAGAAUUGGAAGAAACUACGUUAAAGUUCAUAUGGAACCAGAAAAGAGCCUGCACUGCCAAGACAACCCUAAGCAAAAAGAACAAAGCUGGAGGCAUCAUGCCACCUGACUUCAAACUAUACUACAAGGCUACAGUAACCAAAGCAGCAUGGUACUGGUACCAAAACAGAGAUAUAGACCAACGGAACAGAACAGAGGCCUCAGAAAUAACACCACGCAUCUACAGUCUAUGGUAUUUUACUAUGGAAGCCCACCCUAAGAUUUCAAUUUAGCUUCCAUGUAGUUCCCUGGUGCUUGGCAAUCUCCUGACUCACUACCUUGUCACAUGGUCUAUCCCAAGUCAGUCCUUCUCCUCUUCCCAUAUCCCCCUACUCCAAUAUUCACCCAUAUGUGGCCAAGUCUUCCUCCACCUGAGCUCCUUGCAGAGGAAUGAACAAUUGUUUGAACAUUAAUGAAUAUUAAAGUAAGUAAAGAAGAGACAAAUCUCCACUUGUUUUGAUAGUAGGGUGAUCUUUGGUGAGCUUAGGAAAAGUUUCAACCAAGUAGUCAUAGCAUGAUCCAAGUUAACAUGCAUUGAGCCAGGCGUGAUGGUUCAUGCCUGUAAUCCCAGCACUUUGGGAGGCUCAUGGGGGCAGAUCACUUGUGGUCAGGAGUUCACGACCAGCCUGGCCAACAUGGUGAAACCUCGUCUAUACUAAAAGUACAAAAAUUAGCCAGGCAUGGUGGUGCAUGCCUGUAAUCCCAGCUACUUGGG